Molecule: ribosomal RNA, 1541 nt
Filed under: Escherichia coli
Lineage: Bacteria; Pseudomonadati; Pseudomonadota; Gammaproteobacteria; Enterobacterales; Enterobacteriaceae
Description: bacterial SSU rRNA
Rfam family: Bacterial small subunit ribosomal RNA
Source: RNAcentral
AAAUUGAAGAGUUUGAUCAUGGCUCAGAUUGAACGCUGGCGGCAGGCCUAACACAUGCAAGUCGAACGGUAACAGGAAGAAGCUUGCUUCUUUGCUGACGAGUGGCGGACGGGUGAGUAAUGUCUGGGAAACUGCCUGAUGGAGGGGGAUAACUACUGGAAACGGUAGCUAAUACCGCAUAACGUCGCAAGACCAAAGAGGGGGACCUUCGGGCCUCUUGCCAUCGGAUGUGCCCAGAUGGGAUUAGCUAGUAGGUGGGGUAACGGCUCACCUAGGCGACGAUCCCUAGCUGGUCUGAGAGGAUGACCAGCCACACUGGAACUGAGACACGGUCCAGACUCCUACGGGAGGCAGCAGUGGGGAAUAUUGCACAAUGGGCGCAAGCCUGAUGCAGCCAUGCCGCGUGUAUGAAGAAGGCCUUCGGGUUGUAAAGUACUUUCAGCGGGGAGGAAGGGAGUAAAGUUAAUACCUUUGCUCAUUGACGUUACCCGCAGAAGAAGCACCGGCUAACUCCGUGCCAGCAGCCGCGGUAAUACGGAGGGUGCAAGCGUUAAUCGGAAUUACUGGGCGUAAAGCGCACGCAGGCGGUUUGUUAAGUCAGAUGUGAAAUCCCGGCUCAACCUGGGAACUGCAUCUGAUACUGGCAAGCUUGAGUCUCGUAGAGGGGGGGUAGAAUUCCAGGUGUAGCGGUGAAAUGCGUAGAGAUCUGGAGGAAUACCGGUGGCGAAGGCGGCCCCCUGGACGAAGACUGACGCUCAGGUGCGAAAGCGUGGGGAGCAAACAGGAUUAGAUACCCUGGUAGUCCACGCCGUAAACGAUGUCGACUUGGAGGUUGUGCCCUUGAGGCGUGGCUUCCGGAGCUAACGCGUUAAGUCGACCGCCUGGGGAGUACGUACCGCAAGGUUAAAACUCAAAUGAAUUGACGGGGGCCCGCACAAGCGGUGGAGCAUGUGGUUUAAUUCGAUGCAACGCGAAGAACCUUACCUGGUCUUGACAUCCACGGAAGUUUUCAGAGAUGAGAAUGUGCCUUCGGGAACCGUGAGACAGGUGCUGCAUGGCUGUCGUCAGCUCGUGUUGUGAAAUGUUGGGUUAAGUCCCGCAACGAGCGCAACCCUUAUCCUUUGUUGCCAGCGGUCCGGCCGGGAACUCAAAGGAGACUGCCAGUGAUAAACUGGAGGAAGGUGGGGAUGACGUCAAGUCAUCAUGGCCCUUACGACCAGGGCUACACACGUGCUACAAUGGCGCAUACAAAGAGAAGCGACCUCGCGAGAGCAAGCGGACCUCAUAAAGUGCGUCGUAGUCCGGAUUGGAGUCUGCAACUCGACUCCAUGAAGUCGGAAUCGCUAGUAAUCGUGGAUCAGAAUGCCACGGUGAAUACGUUCCCGGCCUUGUACACACCGCCCGUCACACCAUGGGAGUGGGUUGCAAAAGAAGUAGGUAGCUUAACCUUCGGGAGGGCGCUUACCACUUUGUGAUUCAUGACUGGGGUGAAGUCGUAACAAGGUAACCGUAGGGGAACCUGCGGUUGGAUCACCUCCUUA